RNAcentral lists this long non-coding RNA (833 nucleotides) under Phoenix dactylifera (date palm). RNAcentral describes it as "long non-coding RNA (PDAC_LNC017793)". The record is from RNAcentral. Lineage: Eukaryota; Viridiplantae; Streptophyta; Magnoliopsida; Arecales; Arecaceae.
AUCCAUAGUGCUUUCGUUGAUGAGAUAAGGUUUGGGAAACAAAGUUGGUGAGGAUUUCUCCUUGGGAAUAGUAGAUCCCAUCCAUCUAUUCAAAAUGGAUGACUUGGAUUUUAAAUAUAAAAAGUAUAUAAUAUAAAAUAAUAAUAUAUGGUUAGGGCUUUGAGGCUGGCCAAUGGUUGCCUCAACAUGGCCUGGAUCCUUUCGUGUCUUAAAUUUUGGGUGCAGGCUUGACCUGAACCUAUAGAGAGUUAGAGACCCAACCUAAAACCUGGUGCAAAGCCUGGCUAGAAUUCAGCCUAGGCCAAUUGGUGUUGGGCUAGUCCAGGUGUUGCCCAGAGGUGCAGCCCAAGAGGGGAGGUGAAUUGGAUCUCUUUAAAAAUAAUUAAAGUUAAAACGUAUGGAGAGUAUGAGUUACUGUUAUCUUAUAGAAGCAGCGGAAAUAAGAUUGCACAAAUACGACAGUGAAUAAAGUUAGGAAAGCAGUCAGGAAUAUGCAGAGGAAAGGAAGAGAAGACCCACAAUCACAAAUACGAAGGUUUAUAGUGGUUCGGUGCACUCCCAGCACCUACGUCCACUCCUCAAGCCUAGCUUGAGAUUUCACUAUAACCCAGCAGAUUACAGCCUGAUUGUUUUCCGAGCUCACAAUCAAAACCCAGUUGGUUUUUCCAGGCAACCAACCGAAAAUCUUUUGUUUUCGGGAUCACAAACAACCCAGUUGGUUUUCAGAUAAACCAACCAAAAACUUUACACUGUUUGUUUUCCCGAGCUUUCAAACAACCCAGUUGGUUUUUAGAUAAACCAACCAAAAACUUUACACCGUUUGUUUUCCCGGA